Molecule: ribosomal RNA, 411 nt
Filed under: Triticum aestivum (bread wheat)
Lineage: Eukaryota; Viridiplantae; Streptophyta; Magnoliopsida; Poales; Poaceae
Description: partial small subunit ribosomal RNA
Source: RNAcentral
AUGGCGCCCAAGGCUGCCGAGAAGAAGCCGGCAGAGAAGACCCCCGCGGGCAAGAAACCCAAGGCGGAGAAGAAGGUGCCGGCGUCCAAGGAGGGCGGGGGCGAGAAGAAGGGGAAGAAGAAGUCCAAGAAGAGCGUGGAGACGUACAAGAUCUACAUCUUCAAGGUGCUGAAGCAGGUGCACCCGGACAUCGGGAUCUCCUCCAAGGCCAUGUCCAUCAUGAACUCCUUCAUCAACGACAUCUUCGAGAAGCUGGCCGGCGAGUCGGCCAAGCUGGCGCGGUACAACAAGAAGCCCACCAUCACGUCCCGGGAGAUCCAGACCUCCGUCCGCCUCGUCCUCCCCGGCGAGCUCGCCAAGCACGCCGUCUCCGAGGGCACCAAGGCCGUCACCAAGUUCACUUCCGCCUGA